UUUCUUAAAGCACAGAUUCAUUGAAGAGCUGGCGCCGUGGGCCACUUCGCCGGACUGAAGGGUCCCGCCGGGUCGGAGGGUCCCGCCUGGCCGGGGGAAGAUGGGCGGGACCAGGGGAUGCUACUCGAAGGAACAGCCGCUGUGGGCUCCGCAGGGGCCGUGGUGUGAGGCAGGACUUCAUCGCUGGCUCCCGAGGGAAGAGGUCAUUUUGACUGCAGAGAGAAAGCAUUUUCUUAGGUCGGUUGGGGGAAGUUCAGCUUCAAACUGAGAGAGACGAAACUGCUGUGGGGAAUGAUCGUUAGACAGUGACCACAAAAUAUCUAUCAGCAUUUUCACACAAGAGGAGAUUGUCACCUGGAAGGAUUUAUACUCUGUACUACCAAAGAAACUACACAGACCUGUGAAGAUGUACGGGGACUUCAAGCAUAUAAUCUUUACAAACUGAGUUUGACUCAAAAAAGGAAAAGGAAGUUUUCUACUUGCAUUCAGGACAACUAUCCACUGAUUUAAAGGUAAUUUGCAAUACUGAGAGCAGAAGUGACAGCCUGAACUUCAACUCAAGACAACAGUAAUUUCUCUGUGGUCCCAUGCUUGUUAGUAUGCUUCUCAUAACUUAAACUCCUCAAGCUCUAGUCACAAGCAGAAGCAGCCUCAGCAGGAGUGCUAAGGCAUCAAAGACCCACAUGAUCUGGUCCUGUUAAAUCAUGUUUGCUUACUGACAGCCCCUUCCCCACCCAUGCUCCUCUUUCGUUUGUACUUUUUUUGGAGGUGGUUUUUUGUUUGUUUGUUUGAUUGGUUUUCUCUCCCUCUUAUGAAGAAGCCAAACUAGUCUGCUGGAGCAACCACAGUAGCAUGUCAGCCCCUUUCAUCUCUCCACUGGAUAACGAGUACAAGUCUGUGACUGCAUGUGACUGUGGGAGGAAAUAAUUGGAAGUACUGUGUGAGUAGCUAUCUGUUAAUAACAGCUUGCUUAUAUUAAUAGCAGCUCCAUUUCUGCUAAAUAAAGGCAAAAUUCUUCUAAUA
Molecule: long non-coding RNA, 1023 nt
Organism: Pogoniulus pusillus (Red-fronted tinkerbird)
Lineage: Eukaryota; Metazoa; Chordata; Aves; Piciformes; Lybiidae
Exons: 3
Source: RefSeq, a predicted model, not a curated record